UUUCUAUAUAGUUAUAAUCUGCAUCAGAAUUGAUAUUGCAAAUCUUAUAUGCAUAUCAACAAUUUUAAAAGUUGAAGUAGAGUUCGGUUAUGAAGCUGUUUUCAUUUCUCUCCUCAUAACUUCCAUCAGAAAGGAAUGUCUCCUGCCAAAAAUCUAACUUCUUCAUUCCUAAAUCUCUCUCAAACCCAUGGCAUGAGUUGUUUUCUCUCCUUUAAUACUUCUGAGUUCAGGGAAAUAUGGCUAUGGACACUAAUUUCAUCAGCAAAUUAUCAGCAACAAGAUGUGGAAAGAUACCAGAAGUCAGUUUUCGCUAGACUUGAUUCUGCAGGACGUAAAGGUCUCUUGCAGUGACGAAACCAGACAUUAUGAAAAGUCUGUUAUCCAUCGUGAGUGGCUACUUAAGGUGAAGGAUGUAUAUACUCUAGCGUACACAGGAUAAUUCUCCUUUCUAGAAAGAGAAAUCAGCUCGAACCAGCUUAAACGAGAAGGAUCGGUCAACGGUGUCUCGGGAAUGCUAGAACUAUUAAGAGUAUUUUGUUUGAAGCACUCCCCACAUUUAAUGAGGAUCAUCUCAUUUGCUGGAAAAUUCGUUUGGGGAACUCUGUAUUCGUUAAUGUUAUAUUGAAUUGUAUACCAACUCUUAUCACAAUUGCGUUGUGAAAAUGAUAA
Lycium barbarum (goji berry) is the source of this 669-nucleotide long non-coding RNA. RefSeq lists it as uncharacterized. The transcript is spliced from 3 exons. NCBI's taxonomy places the organism in Eukaryota, Viridiplantae, Streptophyta, Magnoliopsida, Solanales, Solanaceae. The record is from RefSeq and is a predicted model, not a curated record.